GAUGAACGCUGCGGCGCGCCUAACACAUGCAAGUCGAACGAUUAAAGCACCUUCGGGUGUGUAUAAAGUGGCGAACGGCUGAGUAACACGUGGGCAACCUGCCCCUCUCAUUGGGAUAGCCACGGGAAACCGUGGAUAAUACCGAAUACUUCGAGACUUCCGCAUGGAAGACUCGAGAAAGCUCCGGCGGAGAGGGAUGGGCCCGCGGCCUGUUAGCUUGUUGGUGGGGUAACGGCCUACCAAGGCAAUGAUGGGUAGCUGGGUUGAGAGACCGACCAGCCAGAUUGGGACUGAGACACGGCCCAGACUCCUACGGGAGGCAGCAGUGGGGAAUCUUGCACAAUGGGCGAAAGCCUGAUGCAGCGACGCCGCGUGCGGGAUGAAGGCCUUCGGGUUGUAAACCGCUUUCAGCAGGGACGAGGCGAAAGUGACGGUACCUGCAGAAAAGCCCGG
RNAcentral lists this ribosomal RNA (453 nucleotides) under Lancefieldella parvula. RNAcentral describes it as "bacterial SSU rRNA". It matches the Rfam family "Bacterial small subunit ribosomal RNA", at positions 28 to 495 of the family's 1533-position model. The record is from RNAcentral. Lineage: Bacteria; Bacillati; Actinomycetota; Coriobacteriia; Coriobacteriales; Atopobiaceae.